This 296-nucleotide ribosomal RNA is filed under the name Scolelepis sp. GF-28009_13589. Its description in RNAcentral is "partial large subunit ribosomal RNA". Lineage: Eukaryota; Metazoa; Annelida; Polychaeta; Spionida; Spionidae. The record is from RNAcentral.
GAGAAGAUGGCGGAGGUAUAGAAGUGAAGAGAGAGAGAGAGAGAGAGAGAGAGAGAGAGACAGAUUUAAAGAAGAUUUAGAUCUUCUUUUGUCGCCCCAACAAAAUUUAAUAAAAGUAGGAAAAAUAAGUUUUCUUAAAAUGUACUUUUAAUAAAUAAAGCUCCAUAGGGUCUUUUUGUCUUUUUAAAUAAUUCAGGUUUCUUCACCUGAAAAAUAAUUUUUAUUAAAAAAAGUGAAACAGCUAUACCCACGUUUAUUCCUUCAUACAAGCCUCUAAUUAAGAGGCAAAUGAUUAU